CCCUUAGAUGUUCUGGGCCGCACGCGUGCUACACUGAUGCAUUCAACGAGUCUAAAACCUGGUCUGAUAGGGCUGGGUAAUCUUUUGGAAGUGCAUCGUGAUUGGGAUAGAUGAUUGCAAUUCUUCAUCUUCAACGAGGAAUGCCUAGUAAACGCAAGUCAUCAGCUUGCAUUGAUUACGUCCCUGCCCUUUGUACACACCGCCCGUCGCUCCUACCGAUUGAAUGAUCCGAUGAAUACCAUGGAUUGAGAGUACGAAUAGGUUCGCUUAUUUCUGCUGCUCGAGAAGUGGAGUAAAUCUUAUCAUUUAGAGGAAGGAGAAGUCGUAACA
Molecule: ribosomal RNA, 330 nt
Filed under: uncultured eukaryote
Lineage: Eukaryota
Description: partial 18S ribosomal RNA
Rfam family: Eukaryotic small subunit ribosomal RNA
Source: RNAcentral